UUCACAUUCCCUUCUUAGAUUCGGUUGCCCUCUGAGAUUCAGUUUCCACAUGGACUUUGCUUCCCCACCUUUGGACUCCGUUUUACCCCCUCCUGGAUUUUCCCCACAUGGACUCAGUUCUACCAGAUUCUCACCAGCCCUGCUUCAGUCUCCAGCCUGUUUUUCCUGCCUCGCCUCCGUCUGCCCCUGGAUUCCCUCAGCCAGUCUUCCCCCUCUGUUGCCAGUUCCCCCGUCUUGUGGAAACUGUAACAAGAAACAAGAAGUAGUAGUAACGUUGCCAUGGAUACAGUGAGUUACACUUUGGGCAAAAAUGAGCCCUUUAUUUGUUUUCAGCAAAUAUUUGCAUACAGUUUGGAACAAAGGUAAAUCAAAGUGGCAGUUACUAGUUCCUUUUAUUAUAAGACAAGGUCUCUCUUUUCUGUCUUCUGUGAUGGUGAUACACCUUCGUCAUUUUGAGAUUGCUCACAAAAAUCUUUUCCUUUUAGCAUUGUGUGGUUGGUGUUCACUGACAUACACAGACUGGUUAUGGGGUUGAGCUGCUGGCAGGUAUACAGCUGGUUUGAG
Molecule: long non-coding RNA, 564 nt
Organism: Amphiprion ocellaris (clown anemonefish)
Lineage: Eukaryota; Metazoa; Chordata; Actinopteri; Pomacentridae
Source: Ensembl